UGGGGAAUAUUGCACAAUGGGCGAAAGCCUGAUGCAGCAACGCCGCGUGAGUGAUGAAGGCCUUCGGGUUGUAAAGCUCUGUCUUCUGGGACGAUAAUGACGGUACCAGAGGAGGAAGCCACGGCUAACUACGUGCCAGCAGCCGCGGUAAUACGUAGGUGGCAAGCGUUGUCCGGAUUUACUGGGCGUAAAGGAUGCGUAGGCGGAUACUUAAGUCAGAUGUGAAAAUCCCGGGCUUAACUUGGGAACUGCAUUUGAAACUGGGUAUCUAGAGUGCGGGAGAGGAAAGUGGAAUUCCUAGUGUAGCGGUGAAAUGCGUAGAGAUUAGGAAGAACACCAGUGGCGAAGGCGACUUUCUGGACCGUAACUGACGCUGAGGCAUGAAAGCGUGGGGAGCA
This 398-nucleotide ribosomal RNA is filed under the name uncultured bacterium. Its description in RNAcentral is "bacterial SSU rRNA". It matches the Rfam family "Bacterial small subunit ribosomal RNA", at positions 355 to 770 of the family's 1533-position model. The record is from RNAcentral.